Cucumis melo (muskmelon) is the source of this 401-nucleotide long non-coding RNA. RefSeq lists it as uncharacterized. The transcript is spliced from 2 exons. NCBI's taxonomy places the organism in Eukaryota, Viridiplantae, Streptophyta, Magnoliopsida, Cucurbitales, Cucurbitaceae. The record is from RefSeq and is a predicted model, not a curated record.
AAGCAACUUCCCAACUGGACUUUUAUACAUCAAUUCGUGUUGGAAGUGGAAGAUCUGCAGAAGAAGAAUAAUGGCGCUGAUGAGAGGAGAACCCCUGCUGAGGAAGCUCGCCGCGCUCGCUCAGUACGUCGUUCUUCCGGGAGCCAUGGCCGCCGCUCUCAUUUACUCUCCUCCCGAUUACAUCUACUCCAAGAAAGACGAUAAGUCUUCCAAAUAGGACUCUUUCCCCUUCUUUCACCGAACGGACCACCUGAUCAUGUAGGCUUGCAUCUGCAGUGUCGUAUUUCUCUUAUGUUGAUAAUGGUGUGUACUGGACUUGUUGUCAUGUCUCAAUAACUAGUCAUUUGUCUUACUUUUGUGGCUUCGCCUUGGGAGAAAUAAUAAUCAUUUGUUUCCUUGAA